GACGAACGCUGGCGGCGUGCUUAACACAUGCAAGUCGAACGGAAAGGCCCUGCUUUUGUGGGGUGCUCGAGUGGCGAACGGGUGAGUAACACGUGAGUAACCUGCCCUUGACUUUGGGAUAACUUCAGGAAACUGGGGCUAAUACCGGAUAGGAGCUCCUGCUGCAUGGGGGGGGUUGGAAAGUUUCGGCGGUUGGGGAUGGACUCGCGGCUUAUCAGCUUGUUGGUGGGGUAGUGGCUUACCAAGGCUUUGACGGGUAGCCGGCCUGAGAGGGUGACCGGCCACCUUGGGCCUGAGGUACGGUCCAGACUCCUACGGGAGGCAGCAGUGGGGAAUAUUGCACAAUGGGCGGAAGCCUGAUGCAGCAACGCCGCGUGCGGGAUGACGGCCUUCGGGUUGUAAACCGCUUUCGCCUGUGACGAAGCGUGAGUGACGGUAAUGGGUAAAGAAGCACCGGCUAACUACGUG
RNAcentral lists this ribosomal RNA (468 nucleotides) under uncultured bacterium. RNAcentral describes it as "partial 16S ribosomal RNA". It matches the Rfam family "Bacterial small subunit ribosomal RNA", at positions 28 to 507 of the family's 1533-position model. The record is from RNAcentral.